UGCAAUAUCUCUGUGCUUUGUAAGUAACUUGAGAAACAUAACAAGCUUGGUAGAUAGCGUUUUCUUUAAUGUGUUAAUGUAUUAGCACCUCUGUUUUGAUAUAUAAGAACAGAAAACAGUUUGCUUUUGAAGAAGGUGGAAGAGCUACAGAAAGCCCUUGAGAAAGUCUCUGUCGUGUAGCUUGGCCUCAUCUGUUCAUAAGAACGCAGCGAGGUUACAACUUCCCAGCACAGACCGGUGGAUGUUGCAUCAGAGUCAGCAGAUCAUCUGCCCAAGGACACUUAAGUUAUAAAGCUCCUGUUAUUAACAGUAACUGCCGGUUCUGUUGCAAAAGCAAUUAUGCUUGAGCUCUGACUCUAACAAACUACUUAGAAGGGACUGUUCUCUUUCGACCUGCAUCUCUAUCACUGCAUCUUUGCUCUCUGGGAUCCUAGCUUUUUCUUUUCCUCAAGUGAAUUCCUGGGUGGAAAAAUAAACUAAGGCUGAAUUAAUUUUAAAUUGAGAACAAGACUGCAAAGGAAGCUUUGGCAAAGGAGAUUCAAGAGAGAAAAACAGGGAUAGCAUAAGAGGACACAAGCUUCUCUAAUAGUCAUCUGGAAAGGCUUGGGCACAGUGACUUUUGGUGACCACUCUUUCUGUUUCUUCUGUAUCAUUCUGAAGGCUGGUGAGCUCGGAAAUGGGCAGAGUAACACUUUCCAGCUCCAGCACAAACCCUGCUGUAUCACAGGUGACUGUAAAGAUGACCAAGAAUCUUCAGAUAAGAG
Molecule: long non-coding RNA, 764 nt
Organism: Grus americana (Whooping crane)
Lineage: Eukaryota; Metazoa; Chordata; Aves; Gruiformes; Gruidae
Exons: 5
Source: RefSeq, a predicted model, not a curated record